GACGAACGCUGGCGGCGUGCCUAACACAUGCAAGUCGAACGGGGUGUCGGGAGCUUGCUCCUGACACUUAGUGGCGAACGGGUGAGUAACGCGUGAGGAACCUGCCUUUCAGUGGGGGACAACAGUUGGAAACAGCUGCUAAUACCGCAUAAGCGCACAGUACCGCAUGGUACAGUGUGAAAAACUCCGGUGGUGUGAGAUGGACCCGCGUCUGAUUAGCUAGUUGGUAAGGUAACGGCUUACCAAGGCGACGAUCAGUAGCCGGCCUGAGAGGGUGAAACGGCCACAUUGGGACUGAGACACGGCCCAGACUCCUACGGGAGCAGCAGUGGGGAAUAUUGGCACAAUGGGAGGAAACUCUGAUGCAGCGAUGCCGCGGUGAGGGAAGAAGGUUUUUCGGGAAUUGGUAAACCUCUGUCUUCAGGGUACAGUAAUGACGGUACCUGAGGAGGAAGCUCCGGCUAACUACGUG
RNAcentral lists this ribosomal RNA (472 nucleotides) under uncultured bacterium. RNAcentral's name for it is "bacterial SSU rRNA". It matches the Rfam family "Bacterial small subunit ribosomal RNA", at positions 28 to 507 of the family's 1533-position model. The record is from RNAcentral.